This 254-nucleotide ribosomal RNA is filed under the name uncultured bacterium. RNAcentral describes it as "partial 16S ribosomal RNA". It matches the Rfam family "Bacterial small subunit ribosomal RNA", at positions 524 to 776 of the family's 1533-position model. The record is from RNAcentral.
UACGAAGGGGGCGAGCGUUGUUCGGAUUUACUGGGCGUAAAGAGCGCGCAGGCGGUCGUUCAAGUCGCGUGUGAAAGCCCCCGGCUCAACUGGGGAGGGUCACGCGAUACUGAUCGACUCGAAGGCAGGAGAGGGAAGUGGAAUUCCCGGUGUAGUGGUGAAAUGCGUAGAUAUCGGGAGGAACACCAGUGGCGAAGGCGACUUCCUGGCCUGUUCUUGACGCUGAGGCGCGAAAAGCUAGGGGAGCAAACGGG